AUGAACGCUGGCGGCGUGCUUAACACAUGCAAGUCGAACGAAGCACUUUAUUUGAUUUCCUUCGGGACUGAUUAUUUUGUGACUGAGUGGCGGACGGGUGAGUAACGCGUGGGUAACCUGCCUUGUACAGGGGGAUAACAGUUGGAAACGGCUGCUAAUACCGCAUAAGCGCACAGCAUCGCAUGAUGCAGUGUGAAAAACUCCGGUGGUAUAAGACGGACCCGCGUUGGAUUAGCUAGUUGGUGAGGUAACGGCCCACCAAGGCGACGAUCCAUAGCCGAACUGAGAGGGUGACCGGCCACAUUGGGACUGAGACACGGCCCAAACUCCUACGGGAGGCAGCAGUGGGGAAUAUUGCACAAUGGGCGAAAGCCUGAUGCAGCGACGCCGCGUGAGCGAAGAAGUAUUUCGGUAUGUAAAGCUCUAUCAGCAGGGAAGAUAAUGACGGUACCUGACUAAGAAGCACCGGCUAAAUACGUG
This 480-nucleotide ribosomal RNA is filed under the name uncultured bacterium. Its description in RNAcentral is "partial 16S ribosomal RNA". It matches the Rfam family "Bacterial small subunit ribosomal RNA", at positions 29 to 507 of the family's 1533-position model. The record is from RNAcentral.